GAGAGAUGAGAGGAAGAAGAGAAAGAAGAGAGAUACAGAAGAAAAUACCAGUAAGCUGGGUUAGAGAGAAGAGAGAAAAUAGUAUGAGUUAUCCUUGUACUCCUAUUAUUUCACAUAAUGAAAGAAAGUAUUAUUGCUGCCCCGAUGACGUAGAAACUACUCUUAACUCCAAAACUUUUGGGAACCAUUUCGAUUUUUUCGAAACUCACCAGAGGAGGAACACCAAUUGGGACUAAUUGUUACUUUUACUUCAUGGGUGACUAAAAGGACUUAAAAUUGUGAAAUGAAAAUAAAAUAAAAAUGAUGAAAUAAAAGAAAAGUGAAAUGGGGCUAAAGCUUUUGGAAUGGAGUGGUUUUAGUUGCACCAUAAGAAAAAGUAAAAUUGAUAGUGGGAAGUAAUAACGGCACCACCACUAUGUGAAGAAAAGGUUUUUGGAAUGGUGUGCUGACACCAUGUGAAAAAAAGAAGAAAAAUAAUGAUAUUCAAAAUGGACCCGC
Molecule: long non-coding RNA, 498 nt
Organism: Pyrus x bretschneideri (Chinese white pear)
Lineage: Eukaryota; Viridiplantae; Streptophyta; Magnoliopsida; Rosales; Rosaceae
Exons: 2
Source: RefSeq, a predicted model, not a curated record